AUGUCCAUCAGACCAACAUUUGACCAGGUUUUGGCCAGUGAAAUUCAAUGACAUUUUUAAAAAUGGCCGCCAUGGGGAGUCUUUCCUGGGACAUGCUCUGCCUGUGUGAGGAAUGUGGUGCUUUUAACAUAAAUCGCACAAUUCCAGUAGAAAUUGUACAUUCUUUACUGCAGUAUCCGCAAUUCACCUAGUUGGGAGGAAACAGGCAAUCGCGUUCUUACGUAGUUAAUUGCAUUCUAGGCAUGAUUGUCCUUGUAGUUUAUCUCUCCGAAACUUCCGCCGUCUGUCCACUAUCGAUGAAGUCAAAUGAUAGGCAGCUAGUUGUAGCAAGCAAAACGGAGCAUCGACUUCCUGUCGACCACGGAUGUUGCAUGAGAAACAAUAGAAAACCGCACAAAAUAUAAAAGAAAAAAAAACUAGCGAAACAAGCACGUGCACGGAGUCAAAGUAUGCGUGCAUGUUUUGGGGAAAAAAUAGUCAAUGGCGAAAUUAUCUGUUUUUGAUUCCAAUUGGUUGUAAGUACAAACCAUGAAAACAGAGCCUGAGGCCGAAGACUAGGACUGCUGCAGCUAGCUAGCUAGCUAGCUGGCUUGAAAAUCGAAAAGGACUGGCGCUGCUGCUGUGGCCUGCCAGUUCUCGUGAAACAACCCUCAAAGAAGUCUGAAAAGGCAUUGUGAGAGAAGACAACACAGGCAAGGUUUCCCUAUGAUGUUUGAAGAGGAAGACGUGGAUCACCAAACUGGCAAUGACAAUGAGGAAUAUGGAAUGAACAGUGGAGGAAGAGCACAAGGAGAGAUUGGAGGACUCCCUGUGGGAGAUGUGACACCAGCAGCAGUUGUAGCAGCUCUCUCUGAGUACCUGCCCCACAGUAAAGAUCAGUCUCAAAAAAAUCGAAGGGGUCGAUCCAAAAAGAUUUUGCAGCUGAAAGAGGGGAACCAGAGGGAAAAAAAUGAUUUGGAAGCAGUAUUACAUGGUGGACCUGGUAAUUUAAAGACUCAUUCCACUUCUUGUCAGCAACAGAGUACAGAUUUAGAUAGAGCCUUUGAGAAUGGAAGUCCCUUUGACCAAGUUCCUGAAGGGAUAAGUAACCAAGAACAUGGGUUUGCUUUGUCAUCUACUAAAAAACAUAGGGACAUUUUUACCUGUACCGUAGCUGGUGAGCAACAGGUAUCUCCUGAAAGUAGUGGAACAGUAGCCACGAUUCAAGAUGACUUUCCUCCCUUUUCAGGUAGCAGGUACAACGAGGUAAAGUCAAACACUGAAACUCAGUCUCACCCAGGUGCUACAGAGAGGUUGCACAGAAAGCCUCCAGAUAAGUACCCGGGAGGAGGCGAGGGCAGGAUUGUAGUUGCACAGAUGCCCUGGAUUAGCAGUCUCACAGAACAAGAUGAUGUAAAGGGUGAGAAUGAUGCUAGACUCCAUCCCAGUGGCAGGCUGUCACAGAACUCUUGGAAAAAUUGCCAGGGGCAAGGCAAAGACAGAGGAAUAGCAAUUGAGGAGCAGGAAAAAGUUAAAAUGGCAGAAUCAGUGAUACUAACAAAGACCCCUGCACGGACUGGUGAACUAACGGAUCAAUUCAGAGACUGUCAGUCUUCAUCUGUUAUUCCAAGUGUAUCUCAGAGUGAAAUGUUCCAGUCGGCAGGAAAAGCAGUGAAAGAACUGGUACAUGCAGGAGUGCCACAUGAACCUAAGGUCAAACGUGGGCAAAAAGAUGGUCCACCAAAAACAAACUUGCACUCCAAAACACAGGUUAGGCGAACAGUCAGUGGUUCUCAUGAGCUUGGCAACUACUUGGAGGAGAAUAGAACCUGCAGGAAGAGAAGUUCAAGCAGUUCUGACCAGUCAAAAGAGAAGAUUAGAAAAUGCAAGAUGAAAGAAAGUGAUAAAUCUCUUGAGAGUGUUAGAAUGGACACAACUGUAAAGAAGGCAUCAAGUAAGGCAGAUGUUAGACUUGUGGAUACUAAUGUGGGCCAGAUGCAACCCUCUAGAAGUCUUUCUAGUACAGGACCUGACCCUGUAAAUCCUGCUAAUGAAAAGCCGAAAAAUAAGAUGGGGCGGCCACAAAAGAAAUGUGAAUAUAUUGUAACCAAGAAAACCAUAGGGAUAUUGGGAGCUGACUGCAGUGCCUCUGUAAAAGAAUGCUCCCAAAAAGCAUUGUCUCCCAAAGACUUUAGUGACAAAAAGACAUUGGAGACAACUGUUUGUGUUCAGAAAAAGAAAAGAGGCAGGGGGAAAUAUAUUCGGAAGCCUGUCUGCAUAAUCCCACCUCAGGAACAAGUUGUGGGAAUGGCAAUUGAAGGCACAGCAGAGACUCUCUCUUCAUCCAGGAAACCACAUUCGGUACAGGAAGUAAUUGUAGGAAAACAGGUAAAAGGUCCAGAGUGUAAGGCGAGGGCACUAUUGGACCUUAAAACCACAACUGCACCAACCCCAGUUGGAUGUUCGCCACAUGAACAACAGAAGCGAGGUCGUCGAAAGAAAAUUAUUUGCUUGACUGAAAAGACCUCUAAUUCUUUUGAGCCACAGAAUUGCAGUGUUUCUCAGAAGGUUAUGUUGCCACCAUCAAAAAUUAAGACUGAGUUAAAAGGAAUGGCUAUAAUGUCCACCACAGACAGAAAAGGGAAGGGAACUGUAAAAGAGAAAACUGAAGUAGUGAGUCAACACGGUGAUGGAGGCAGCAUUGCUGUUGGUUGCAGGAACAGGGCGGCAGAUGAAAAAUUGAAACGUAAAAUUGGUCGGCCAUUCAAGAAAAAGACUCUAAUUAAAAUGGCGAAACAGUUAGCAUUAGCGCAAGUAAGAACUGCAAAUGCCACAGACAUAUUUGAACGGAAUCAACCAGAAAAUAUUCCUCUCCAUCAUCCUCAAAUAUACAAGCUAAAGAGGGAAAGGAAGAAGGUUGAGUUGUAUUCCCCAGUAUCACCGUUGAGAAGGUACAGUCGGGCCUGCAAAUUAAAUGCGAAUUACUUAGAUGAGAAGCAGGAACACCAUCCUGCAAGUAGCCAUAAACCCCUUUUGUCUUCUGUCUCCAGUGUCACUGUUGCUCAUUUGGAUUCAGGGAAAACAGUUUCCCGAUCUUCAGCUGUUCACUCCAAGAAGGAUUCAGAGACCACCGAAUCUGAAGGACAUGAUUGUGUUAAAGUGACUUGGAAAAAAGCUAAGCAUUUAAAGAACAAAAGGAAAAGUCAAGUGAACAUCAAGGUUGAAGAAAUUCAGCCAUCCGUGUUCACUGAAUUUUCAAAGAUACAAAAUCCCAGUGCCUUCCAGGAACGUUUACCUAUGCUUUCGAAAGAGACUUUAACUUCUUCCGAGUCUGUCUCAACUGAGAAGAUACCGUUGAAAAAUUGGAAAAUGCGAAGUAAGGCAAGAAAAACUGAUCAAUUGAGGUCCAAUACAGAGAGUGGCCAGUCGCUCAGCACACAGUCUCGCCAUCAAAUACACAAUGACAGUGCAGCAGCAAAAGACACUGUACCUUUACUAAUCCCGAAAGAAGAGAUUGAAGAGACACCUAAUGCAGCCGCAACUGAGAACAAAGUGGUGUCCCACAAAGAUACCCGUACUGUAACAAUGAAAAAAGUCAGGAGAAAAGGAAGAAUGUCUCAGAAAAAAGUUGUUGCAAAGAUCAAAUAUGAGCCAACAGUAGAUGCUGCUUUGAGUAAUGUCUCAGCAUCAAAAAAUAAAUACGAAUCUCACUCCAAAUCUUUACCAACAACUCAGAGUUUGAUUGAGUCCAAUUUAUCUGGUGAUAAAGGAUCUCGAAGGCGAGGGAGACCAUGUAAAACUAAAGCAAUGAUUCCGACUGUGAAAUCUAGUGAAGAGGUAAAAAAAGAAAUAGUGGAUUAUGAGUCAUUAACGGACCAAAGUUGUCCCUUGAAACCCCCAGGCAAGGUUAUGUCCUGUCUGAACAUUUCUGGAGAGAGUGAAAUGAAAAGACCACGGAAAGUGGACAGGAGACGGAAAAGGUUUAGACGUCAGAAAGCUCUAGAACUUAAGGCAUCAUCAGAGGUUUUGUUAAACCCCUCAGAACCAGUUGGGAAAUUUACUUCACAGAUUGACCACAGGGAGGAUGUACAUUACAUCUCACAAACCCAUUCCAAUAAAAGAAAACUAGAGGCAGAUGAUCAGCUUUUUAAUGAUUCAAAUUCCUUCACAAAGAGGCCACGGAAAGCAUUUGGCUCAAGGAAGAGGCGGAGAAGAAAAAGGUCCUGGUGGGAUGAUAGGGGAAAGGAUAAAGACGUGCUCACAGAGAAAUACCCGGAUAGUUCGCUGAAGCCGUCUUUGCCGUCUGUUGAAGGCAAAGCAGAAGUGGCGGUGGUUGUGAAAACAGACUUUGAUGUGAAAAGGACUACGAAUCAGGAGUCGAUUAAUUCAUAUCAGCAUAAGAUGCAAAACGCAAAUAAACUCCCCUCACAUACCCGAGCAGUGGCUCAGAGAUCUGGGACAGACAGAAUUUCAGGGGAAGUAGAAUUUUCUGACCAAAUCAACCUCUCUACAGAGGAAAAAAAUAGGCCUACUGAAAAGUCAUGUGGUUACCAAGGCCAUUCAGAGCCACUGAAAAAUGCUUUUCUUAAUGAAACUGAAGGGGUGCUAUUUCACGAUAUCAGCAUUUCAGAAAAUCAAAGAUGGGUGAGUAAUCCAGAAAAUCUAAAUGACCAAAACUUGGCAGUUAAUAAUUCAGGACCACUAGCAGAAUCAUGCAAAGGAACUGUCGGCUUGGUGACUGAUGAGCUUCAAGAAAAACAAGUAAGCAAUGAAACAGUGACUUCCUCAUCUCAUGCUUUAAAAAAUGAAGUGAACGUGCUUGAGACUGACAGUCCAAAACCAGAUGAACUUCUAAAAGAAGACAUUACUAGACAAAGGUCUGGAAGAUCCAAAAAUGAAGACCAACAGAAACAAGUCGUAACAAAUGAAAAAAAUAUCUCGAGAGAUGGGUCAGUCAUGCUGAUUCCUAAAGAGACCGACCAAGUGGAAACAAAUGUUGAAAUGUGUGUGUCUUCAGAAUCCAAAACCCUAAAUCCAACAAACCUGAGGCCCUCCAAGACGCUUGAUGAGGAAUAUAGUUUAUCUGAUGUCUUUCCGAAUGCCCCUGAUGUUGAGAUAAACCAAGCAAUGUUUUUACAGCAAAAUGUGUCCAUACAGGACCUUCCACCAGAUAAAAAAGGGUGGGAAAACUAUCAGGAUGGAGUGGAACAAAGUGACCAAGAAUUGGAGGAAGAAGGAUGCAUUGAGGAAGAUGCUGUGGAGAGCAUGGCAGAAGAAUUGCCUCUAAGUAUCCAUUCUAAGAUUCGAGGUCCAGGACGCCCACCUAAGGAUAAGGAGAAGAAGCCUAUAGAAUGCCAAAUUUGUGGCCGUGCUUUUCAUCACAUCUCGGCCUAUGUCAUUCACCGCCGUGUCCAUACAGGAGAGAGGCCCUACAGUUGCCAGGAGUGUGGUAAAACCUUUGCUCAACUCUCUAAUCUUAACACUCAUCGAAAGACUCACAAGUUACCCGAUGAUCUACGCAGAAUGUUUUCUGAUCAGGAGGAACUUCUUGUCCAUUGCCAGAAGAAUGCCGAAGAGCUAAAUCGCCAACGUUUGACCAGACAAGUGAGCAAUGAAGAAGAUGGGGAGAAGAACCAACAUCGUUCCUUUCCUUGUUUGAAAGACAGGAAACCCCAUGUGUGUUCUGUGUGUGGAAAGGGAUUUCGCUACAGCUCUAUGCUGAAGAUCCACAUGCGUGUUCACAGUGGGGAGAAGCCUUACUCAUGCAAAAUUUGUGGCAAGUCCUUCAGCCAGGCAUGUAGUGUUCGUGUUCAUGAAAAAAUACACUGGUCAGUAAAGCCGUACAUCUGCAACCUUUGUGGCAAAGGAUUUUCUCAGCUCGGGACACUGAGAACUCAUUUUUACUCACACACAGGAUUGUAUAAAGAAGGUGGCAAGCAGGUAAGCAACAAAGUGAUAUUCCAGUGCCGAACCUGCAACAAGAGCUUUAGUAUUUGGCAUCAGUAUAACUUCCAUCUAAAAUCGCAUAUCGAUGUCCAGUUUUUUGCUUGUGAUAUCUGUGGUCAGCAAUUUAGGCAGAUUUCUGAUCUCAGCUUCCACCGCCAAUCCUGUGGUAAGCAGACUAUAAAGGAUACCGUACAUCAUUCAUUUGUAUUUGACACUUUGCAGAAAUCUCAAAAGCAAAAAGGUCUGCCAUUUCAACCACACCCUAUACAGCAUUCACAGCUCCAAAGCAACCAUCAGUAUCAACCACAGGGCCAACAACAAACAUUUUUUCCGAACUAUAGUAUAUCUCAGCAACAGGUUUACCAUUUACCUGAACAUAAAACCUUUUCUGAACUGAUGAACCCUCAACCACAAAGAGAUGCUUCCCAGCAGAGGAAGCAUUCUUCAAGAAGUAAAUGGAGGCAGAUGGCUAGCCCUGCCUAUUCGCAAAUGAUAAUAAAAUCCCCUCGUAAACGUUACCACUCAAGGCACACUCUCUCAACAUCAGCUCAUCUAGAUCAUAAAUUUGACCCACGGAAGUAUUUGUGCCCGCGCUGUGGUCGACUAUUUAGGCACUUAGGGAGGCUUAGAGCCCACAUGCUGACCCAUGUCCAUGGUCACAGCUAUACCUGUGGGCGCUGUGGGAAAACACUGGAAAACUGGAACAAGUUCUGGCUGCACCAGCGUAUCCACCGACAGAAACGAGGACGUUUCUUUUGUCCUAAGUGUGGUCAGGGCUUCCGCUUUGCUGGGAUGUACAAACAGCAUUUGCAGGAACACAAAGAGCUAAGAGUAUUUGCUUGUUCCUCAUGUCCACAGACAUUUUCCCAUAGAGAAACUUUGAAGGCUCAUCAGAGAGAGGAGCACAAACCACAUAAGUGUAAUGUUUGCGGGAAAAGUUUCCACCUUCAGGGAAACUUGCAGCGACACAACCUUGUUCAUCGUCAUACCCACCCAGAAUGUUGUCCUCACUGCAGUUUGUUAUUCCCCAACAUCAGUGGUCUACAGGAUCACAUGAUUACUCAUAAAAGUCCAACUGGCCCACUCUUGGAUGUGUCGGCACAACAAAAUCUAUUGCCAUACCAAUGUGGGGAAUGUGAAGCCAGUUUCAAAAACUUGGAUUUGCUUUUCCGUCAUCAGCUCUGCCACUCUCCCCCCAGGGACAGGAAGCCGUGGCGUAAUGGAGAGAUUGUUGGCUUGCAAAAUAAGGGUCUGCAUGUCUUUACUUCCCUGGAUGACACAAGUGUGUACCCUAGUUCCUCAUCCUCGGAUCCCCAGGUCUCUGCUCUUUACACUGAUCCAUCUUCCCACCAACAGGGUUCUCGGAUCAGCCAUACCUAUUCUCCUGAUCAUUCUCAACUUGCAAGCAACAAGCCCAGUCAGUCUAGCAAGUUCCAGUCUCUAGAAAACAACACACACCUACCUCAGACACUGACACCCUGUACAGCUGUGCCUUUUUCUGAAGCUCAACCUCUCAGUCUCCCACAAUAUCCCCAGACAUGCAACCCCGUCCAGUCCCCUAGCCAUAAACAGGUCCAAACCUCUCCAAAAUUUGGAAAAGUAUUUACCCAAAAGCCGCUCCGCACCUAUGAGAAGUCCAAGAGGGGUGCCCCUUGCACCCCAUCAACAUCUGUGAAACCCCAGAGUGAAGAGGACAGUAGGGACAGUUUAGAAUGUGUGGAGUGUGGGGCACAGUUUAAUCUUGUUCCAGAAUUAUAUGAACAUUACUUGCAGCACGCCAGGGGAGAGCUGUAAGGGACGAUAAGAUAAAGAAAUGUUUUGGAAAGACUAAAAGUAUAUUGAUUUUCAUUGUUCAUUUUGGACAAACAAAACCUCACCCCCUUUCAGUGGAGGAUUUGCUUUCUAAAGAUGCUCAGUACAUGUAAAAAUUCAGAUAUUUCUAUUAGUGGUUGUCUCACAGGUGGGGGGAGUGAGUACACAAUACCUCAGUGGUAUAGACAGAAGGCUUGCAAUGCUGACCUUUUAGAAUAUAUUUGUGUUGGGGGGGAAGGGAUAAAGUGCUGUGUGGCAAUUGCACGCAUCUCAAAUACUGCAGGUAUCUUGGUAUGCUUUCUAAAGUAAGGAUUAUGUACUUACAAAUCACCCUGUCAUUAAAUGUAUUCCUUAUGCUGCCUCUGGGCAUUAAAGCUUAAUGUAGUUUUCAUGUUAAGUUGAAUGAGAGGAUCUUUGUUACUUUUCAGUACAACUUAAAAUGUCUCUAUUGGUAUCAUCAUAAUUUUAAUUUCCAUUAGUCUGAUUUCUUUCCCAUUUCCACUUGUAAAUCUACCACAAAGAUAUCUGAGAUACCAUUUUGAAUAGGGUUGUAAGUUUUCUUUUGCAAAUGGGAACUGUGAUGUCAUUUAAGUUAGUGAGCAUUGUUUAAACUGUGAAUUCAAAUGUAUGUCUAAGAUUGAGUAGUGCAGCAUACAGAUUGCAUCAUUUGUGCCCUAGGACAUUCUGACUGCAUCAAAUAGCCUGAAAACAUGUAUUGAGUGUCCCCAUGUCCUUGGAGAGAAGCGAGUGACAGAAAGUGUCUUUGUAAUAUAAUGUUGUAAUUUGUUUUACAGUGUUUACAGUUAUGUUAAGACAACUGACUGCACUGUCUUGCAAAAAGUUUUGUAGAGUUUGUGUCAGAGCACUUGGUUGCUGAUGUGAGGAUUAGUAUUUUUGCAAGAAGUGUGAGGUAGAUUUCUGUACUUUUUAUUUACAUUUUGUCUGCCCCACCUGUACCAUAUUAACCAGGUGUGCAGUUGCCUCUGUGAUUUCCUUAAGCAAAAAUAUUUUUUGUUUUGAAGUGGGAGCAUUGCAAAGUAGAAGUCACCGCAACACCAUACCGUUUUGUACAGUUUUAAAGGGGUUCCUUUUUUAUCUCUUGUAAAUGUCAUGAAGAAAGUUGCAGACAAGCCUAACAAAAUAAAGCAAAGAUUUUUACUCA
Molecule: long non-coding RNA, 8899 nt
Organism: Anguilla rostrata (American eel)
Lineage: Eukaryota; Metazoa; Chordata; Actinopteri; Anguilliformes; Anguillidae
Exons: 2
Source: RefSeq, a predicted model, not a curated record